GACAGAGGGUGCAAACGUUGUUCGGAAUUACUGGGCGUAAAGCGCGUGUAGGCGGUCUCGCAAGUCGGAUGUGAAAGCCCAGGGCUCAACCCUGGAAGUGCACUCGAUACUGCGAGACUAGAGUCCCGGAGAGGAUGGUGGAACUCUCGGUGUAGAGGUGAAAUUCGUAGAUAUCGAGAAGAACACCGGUGGCGAAGGCGGCCAUCUGGACGGUGACUGACGCUGAGACGCGAAAGCGUGGGGAGCAAACAGG
This 253-nucleotide ribosomal RNA is filed under the name uncultured bacterium. Its description in RNAcentral is "partial 16S ribosomal RNA". It matches the Rfam family "Bacterial small subunit ribosomal RNA", at positions 524 to 776 of the family's 1533-position model. The record is from RNAcentral.